Molecule: ribosomal RNA, 252 nt
Filed under: uncultured prokaryote
Description: partial 16S ribosomal RNA
Rfam family: Bacterial small subunit ribosomal RNA
Source: RNAcentral
CGGGGGGGGCAAGCGUUGUUCGGAAUUACUGGGCGUAAAGGGCUCGUAGGUGGCCAACUAAGUCGGACGUGAAAUCCCUGGGCUCAACCCAGGAACUGCGUCCGAUACUGGUUGGCUUGAAUCCGGGAGAGGGACGUGGAAUUCCAGGUGUAGCGGUGAAAUGCGUAGAUAUCUGGAGGAGCACCGGUGGCGAAGGCGACGUCCUGGACCGGCAUUGACGCUGAGGCGCGAAAGCCAGGGGAGCAAACGGGA